ACUCCUACGGGAGGCAGCAGUGGGGAAUAUUGCACAAUGGGCGAAAGCCUGAUGCAGCAACGCCGCGUGAGGGACGACGGCCUUCGGGUUGUAAACCUCUUUUGGCAGGGAAGAAGCGAAAGUGACGGUACCUGCAGAAAAAGCACCGGCUAACUACGUGCCAGCAGCCGCGGUAAUACGUAGGGUGCAAGCGUUGUCUGGAAUUAUUGGGCGUAAAGAGCUCGUAGGCGGUUUGUCGCGUCUGCUGUGAAAACGCGAGGCUCAACCUCGCGCCUGCAGUGGGUACGGGCAGACUAGAGUGUGGUAGGGGAGAUUGGAAUUCCUGGUGUAGCGGUGGAAUGCGCAGAUAUCAGGAGGAACACCGAUGGCGAAGGCAGAUCUCUGGGCCAUUACUGACGCUGAGGAGCGAAAGCGUGGGGAGCGAACAGGAUUAGAUACCCUGGUAGUCCACGCCGUAAACGUUGGGAACUAGAUGUGGGGUCCAUUCCACGGAUUCCGUGUCGCAGCUAACGCAUUAAGUUCCCCGCCUGGGGAGUACGGCCGCAAGGCUAAAACUCAAAGGAAUUGACGGGGGCCCGCACAAGCGGCGGAGCAUGCGGAUUAAUUCGAUGCAACGCGAAGAACCUUACCAAGGCUUGACAUAUACCUGCAAAGGCUGGAAACAGUCUCCUCGCAAGACAGGUAUACAGGUGGUGCAUGGUUGUCGUCAGCUCGUGUCGUGAGAUGUUGGGUUAAGUCCCGCAACGAGCGCAACCCUCGUUCUAUGUUGCCAGCGCGUCAUGGCGGGAACUCAUAGGAGACUGCCGGGGUCAACUCGGA
RNAcentral lists this ribosomal RNA (819 nucleotides) under uncultured Actinomycetes bacterium. Its description in RNAcentral is "bacterial SSU rRNA". It matches the Rfam family "Bacterial small subunit ribosomal RNA", at positions 335 to 1167 of the family's 1533-position model. Lineage: Bacteria; Bacillati; Actinomycetota; Actinomycetes. The record is from RNAcentral.